This 402-nucleotide ribosomal RNA is filed under the name uncultured bacterium. Its description in RNAcentral is "bacterial SSU rRNA". It matches the Rfam family "Bacterial small subunit ribosomal RNA", at positions 355 to 774 of the family's 1533-position model. The record is from RNAcentral.
UGGGGAAUCUUAGACAAUGGGCGCAAGCCUGAUCUAGCCAUGCCGCGUGAGUGACGAAGGCCUUAGGGUCGUAAAGCUCUUUCGCCAGAGAUGAUAAUGACAGUAUCUGGUAAAGAAACCCCGGCUAACUCCGUGCCAGCAGCCGCGGUAAUACGGAGGGGGUUAGCGUUGUUCGGAAUUACUGGGCGUAAAGCGUACGUAGGCGGAUUAGAAAGUAGGGGGUGAAAUCCCAGGGCUCAACCCUGGAACUGCCUCCUAAACUACUAGUCUAGAGUUCGAGAGAGGUGAGUGGAAUUCCAAGUGUAGAGGUGAAAUUCGUAGAUAUUUGGAGGAACACCAGUGGCGAAGGCGGCUCACUGGCUCGAUACUGACGCUGAGGUACGAAAGUGUGGGGAGCAAACA